Panicum virgatum (switchgrass) is the source of this 926-nucleotide long non-coding RNA. RefSeq lists it as uncharacterized. The record is from RefSeq and is a predicted model, not a curated record. The transcript is spliced from 4 exons. NCBI's taxonomy places the organism in Eukaryota, Viridiplantae, Streptophyta, Magnoliopsida, Poales, Poaceae.
GGUAGCUAGCACGCUGGAUGCCUGUGCUGCCCGCUCCGCCGUGCCGCCGCCGGAGUUCAGUGCUGCCUACCAAAGGGUACCUGCUACGAACUAAGCAGGGACCGCCUCGCGCGAUCAGAGAGGAGAUGGGGAAUCGCUGCUGCCUGCGGACCUGUGCGGUGCCGCAGUCGUUGCUGCCUGUGCACGAGGACCGGCGCUCCGCCGCCCCCAACUGCAUGCGCGAGCCUGCGCACCGCUGCCUUGCAUAUUAUUAAGACCUUUUCCAACACUCGGUCAUCUCCUUCCCUCCAUCAUGGUUGUGCCAUGCUUCUGGACGAAGCACCAGGGAGCAGCGGCCAUACCUGGCCCAUGGGAGUGACGGGGCUGCUCCAUGCCCCCUUGAUCCCCAACUUCACAGCCUUGCCUAAGAUUUGUCCAUUUUCUGAUUCUAACUGCAGCUCACAUCAAGCCAUAAUUGCUGCCUGCAAGGUGCUCGACAGAAUGCUCCGGUGAUGACAUGAUGUUUGGAGCUCUGUUGGCAAAGGAGAAUUUCUUUGGCAAAGUUGAAGAUGUGGCCUAUGAACUCGGAUCCCUGUACCAGUACAACAGACGCACAAUGUCCCAAUAAUGGUCCUCUUCUCUUCUAGAUUGGAACAUCGAACCUUGCGGUAUCAUGUACUCUCCAAGGGCUCAAAGGAUGACCGAUUUUCAGUCAAUGAAAAAUCUUUCGAAGGCAAUUGACUUUGCUAAGAGGAAUUUUCUUGCUGGAAAAAAAACUUGUAUGCUGUCAAAAUGGAUAAGAUAUAAUUAUUUGUGUUUCCUUGGCAAUAGUGACAUUGUUGUUCGAUGAUAAGGGAUGCUUUGACUGUGUCCAUUCUUUCAUGAAAAGAGACAUCACAAGAUUGGAGAUGAGGAAGAGGCUGGUAUAUAUUCAUUUGCAAAUUUGC